Molecule: ribosomal RNA, 574 nt
Filed under: uncultured bacterium
Lineage: Bacteria
Description: bacterial SSU rRNA
Rfam family: Bacterial small subunit ribosomal RNA
Source: RNAcentral
CCUACGGGAGGCAGCAGUAAGGAAUAUUGGACAAUGGGCGCAAGCCUGAUCCAGCCAUUCCGCGUGCAGGAUGACGGCCCUCUGGGUUGUAAACUGCUUUUAUUUGGGAAGAAACCCUGGGAUUUAUCCCGGGCUGACGGUACCAAAAGAAUAUGCACCGGCUAAUUCCGUGCCAGCAGCCGCGGUAAUACGGAAGGUGCAAGCGUUAUCCGGAAUCACUGGGUUUAAAGGGUGCGUAGGCGGUUACGUCAGUCAGAAGUGAAAGCUCACAGCUUAACUGUGGAAUUGCUUUUGAUACUGCGUAACUAGAAUCAGGUUGAGGUUGGCGGAAUGUGACAUGUAGCGGUGAAAUGCAUAGAUAUGUCAUAGAACACCAAUUGCGAAGGCAGCUGACUAGACCUGCAUUGACGCUGAGGCACGAAAGCGUGGGGAGCGAACAGGAUUAGAUACCCUGGUAGUCCACGCCCUAAACGAUGCUUACUCGAUGUGUGAAUUAUUGCGCAUCCAAGGGAAACCGUUAAGUAAGCCACCUGGGGAGUACGUUCGCAAGAAUGAAACUCAAAGGAAUUGACGG